AUCACUUCUCGGCCUUUUGGCUAAAAUCAAGUGUAGUAUCUUCUUAUCGUCCUCUAUCUGAGAACAUUAUAUUAAAUGUAUUUUUGGAAUAGGGAGAUGAAAUAGGAGCUUGCUCUGUCCACUCUACGCAUCGACCCAGUAUUGCAGUAGGUAUUGCAGUACCUCUGGGAAUGGUGCACCAAGG
RNAcentral lists this small nuclear RNA (184 nucleotides) under Myotis davidii. RNAcentral describes it as "U2 spliceosomal RNA". It matches the Rfam family "U2 spliceosomal RNA". Rfam says of the family: U2 is a small nuclear RNA (snRNA) component of the spliceosome (involved in pre-mRNA splicing). Lineage: Eukaryota; Metazoa; Chordata; Mammalia; Chiroptera; Vespertilionidae. The record is from Rfam by way of RNAcentral.